ACUACUUGGAUAACCGUGGUAAUUCUAGAGCUAAUACAUGCUAAAAAUCCCGACUCCGGAAGGGAUGUAUUUAUUAGAUUAAAAACCAAUGCCCUCUGGGCUCUCUGGUGAUUCAUGAUAACUUCUCGAAUCGCAUGGCCUUGCGCCGGCGAUGGUUCAUUCAAAUUUCUUCCCUAUCAACUUUCGAUGUUUGGGUAGUGGCCAAACAUGGUUGCAACGGGUAACGGAGGGUUAGGGCUCGACCCCGGAGAAGGAGCCUGAGAAACGGCUACUACAUCCAAGGAAGGCAGCAGGCGCGCAAAUUACCCAAUCCCGAUCCGGGGAGGUAGUGACAAUAAAUACUGAUACAGGGCUCUUUUGGGUCUUGUAAUCGGAAUGAGUACAAUUUAAAUCCCUUAACGAGGAACAAUUGGAGGGCAAGUCUGGUGCCAGCAGCCGCGGUAAUUCCAGCUCCAAUAGCGUAUAUUAAAGUUGUUGUGGUUAAAAAGCUCGUAGUUGAACCUUGGGCCUGGCUGGCCGGUCCGCCUCACCGCGUGCACUGGUCCGGCCGGGCCUUUCCCUCUGUGGAACCCCAUGCCCUUCACUGGGCGUGGCGGGGAAACAGGACUUUUACUUUGAAAAAAUUAGAGUGCUCCAGGCAGGCCUAUGCUCGAAUACAUUAGCAUGGAAUAAUAAAAUAGGACGUGCGGUUCUAUUUUGUUGGUUUCUAGGACCGCCGUAAUGAUUAAUAGGGACAGUCGGGGGCAUCAGUAUUCAAUUGUCAGAGGUGAAAUUCUUGGAUUUAUUGAAGACUAACUACUGCGAAAGCAUUUGCCAAGGAUGUUUUCAUUAAUCAGGAACGAAAGUUAGGGGAUCGAAGACGAUCAGAUACCGUCGUAGUCUUAACCAUAAACUAUGCCGACUAGGGAUCGGACGAUGUU
This 920-nucleotide ribosomal RNA is filed under the name Nigelia martialis. RNAcentral describes it as "SSU rRNA". It matches the Rfam family "Eukaryotic small subunit ribosomal RNA", at positions 134 to 1064 of the family's 1831-position model. The record is from RNAcentral. Lineage: Eukaryota; Fungi; Ascomycota; Sordariomycetes; Hypocreales; Clavicipitaceae.